UGACCGCUAGCGGGAGGCCUAACACAUGCAAGCCGAGCGGUAUUUGUUCUUCGGAACAGAGAGAGCGGCGCACGGGUGCGGAACACGUGUGCAACCUGCCUUUAUCUGGGGGAUAGCCUUUCGAAAGGAAGAUUAAUACCCCAUAAUAUAUUGAGUGGCAUCAUUUGAUAUUGAAAACUCCGGUGGAUAGAGAUGGGCACGCGCAAGAUUAGAUAGUUGGUGAGGUAACGGCUCACCAAGUCAAUGAUCUUUAGGGGGCCUGAGAGGGUGAUCCCCCACACUGGUACUGAGACACGGACCAGACUCCUACGGGAGGCAGCAGUGAGGAAUAUUGGACAAUGGGUUAGCGCCUGAUCCAGCCAUCCCGCGUGAAGGACGACGGCCCUAUGGGUUGUAAACUUCUUUUGUAUAGGGAUAAACCUACUCUCGUGAGAGUAGCUGAAGGUACUAUACGAAUAAGCACCGGCUAACUCCGUG
Molecule: ribosomal RNA, 477 nt
Filed under: uncultured bacterium
Lineage: Bacteria
Description: partial 16S ribosomal RNA
Rfam family: Bacterial small subunit ribosomal RNA
Source: RNAcentral